UGCAGCCCACAUGAACAGAACAAACACCCUUCAACAUUUUGUGUGCAACUGCAACUCUAACACCUCUUCCUCCCCCUAUUCAAAUUCAUUCCUUUUUAGUUUCAAAACACAAAUCAUUAUAGAAAUGGACACUACAAAAUCAGUAGUACAUGUUUUUGUUGCACAUUACCAUGAAAGUGGUGGUAGAGAAUUUGACAGGAACACUAUUCUAUGUCCAAGUGGCGAAUGAUGCUACGGUUCAAGAUCUAAAAUUGGAAAUUGAGGCUCAGCUGAAACUCCCUUGUGACCGUCUGAUCCUUAUUCUUGAUGUUGAUCAAUGGCCUUUGAUGACAAAAGAAGCAGAAAAGGCAUCACUCAUUGAUUGUGGAAUACAAGAUGGGUCCCACAUUUAUAUUUUCUUCCAUCCUAUUGACGAUGAGUCUACCAAUCAUUUUGUGUUUACUCUGCCUGAUUUUUUUAUCGGCUAGAAACCCCUCUUUCAUUCGGACUUCGAUUUAAUGCACCACGAAAUGCACACAUUUAUACUGGGGUAAAUGAUUUCGAUUAAACAAUAACAAAAUCUGUUUUAUAUGAUCUUUGACAUUGAUUUAUAUCGUACUAUCUAAAUUGUAAAUUGUUCGACAAAUACAACAAAUCAUUAUAGGUAAUUUUUUAGUACUGUAUUUUUAUAUUUUAGAUAGUUUAAAUCAUGAUUCCUUUCAACGUAACUUCGAGAAAUCCAUGGUUUGGUUGUAUUGUGCCAAUUUAUAUUGGAUUGGAUUGAAAAGCAUUCCCACAAAAUUAUUAAUUAUAUCUUGUUAUGUUCUUUUAGAAUGUUGACG
Molecule: long non-coding RNA, 821 nt
Filed under: Cicer arietinum (chickpea)
Lineage: Eukaryota; Viridiplantae; Streptophyta; Magnoliopsida; Fabales; Fabaceae
Description: long non-coding RNA (CARI_LNC003185)
Source: RNAcentral